RNAcentral lists this ribosomal RNA (398 nucleotides) under uncultured bacterium. RNAcentral describes it as "bacterial SSU rRNA". It matches the Rfam family "Bacterial small subunit ribosomal RNA", at positions 30 to 430 of the family's 1533-position model. The record is from RNAcentral.
AUUGAACGCUGGCGGUAUGCUUAACACAUGCAAGUCGAACGGUAACAGGCCUUCUGGCGCUGACGAGUGGCGGACGGGUGAGUAACGCGUAGGAAUCUGCCUCAUAGUGGGGGACAACGUGGGGAAACUCACGCUAAUACCGCAUACGCCCUACGGGGGAAAGCGGGGGAUCUUCGGACCUCGCGCUAUGAGAUGAGCCUGCGUUAGAUUAGCUAGUUGGUAGGUAAAGGCCUACCAAGGCGACGAUCUAUAGCUGGUCUGAGAGGACGAUCAGCCACACUGGGACUGAGACACGGCCCAGACUCCUACGGGAGGCAGCAGUGGGGAAUAUUGGACAAUGGGCGCAAGCCUGAUCCAGCAAUACCGCGUGUGUGAAGAAGGACCUUAGGGUUGUAAAG